RNAcentral lists this non-coding RNA (88 nucleotides) under Halalkalibacter wakoensis. RNAcentral's name for it is "Bacillus wakoensis c-di-GMP sequence". It matches the Rfam family "c-di-GMP-I riboswitch aptamer". From Rfam's summary of the family: GEMM was predicted in a large-scale screen for bacterial structured RNA regulatory elements. Genes associated with GEMM are involved in a diverse array of functions, including chemotaxis regulation, signal transduction, secretion and chitin. Lineage: Bacteria; Bacillati; Bacillota; Bacilli; Caryophanales; Bacillaceae. The record is from RNAcentral. RNAcentral also lists the same sequence under 1 other name.
UAAUGACAAAGGCAAACUAUUCGAAAGGGUAGGACGCAAAGCCUAGGGACUAACGUAUUGGGUAAACUAUGUUCGCCUGGCUACCAAA